AACGAACGCUGGCGGCAUGCCUAACACAUGCAAGUCGAACGAGGCCUUCGGGUCUAGUGGCGCACGGGUGCGUAACGCGUGGGAACCUGCCCUUAGGUUCGGAAUAAAUCCCCGAAAGGGGUGCUAAUACCGGAUAAUGUCUUCGGACCAAAGCUUUAUCGCCUUUGGAUGGGCCCGCGUUGGAUUAGCUAGUUGGUAGGGUAAAAGCCUACCAAGGCGACGCUCCAUAGCUGGUCUGAGAGGAUGAUCAGCCACACUGGGACUGAGACACGGCCCAGACUCCUACGGGAGGCAGCAGUGGGGAAUAUUGGACAAUGGGCGAAAGCCUGAGCCAGCAAUGCCGCGUGAGUGAUGAAGGCCGUAGGGUUGUAAAGCUCUUUUACCCGGGAUGAUAAUGACAGUACCGGGAGAAUAAGCUCCGGCUAACUCCGUG
RNAcentral lists this ribosomal RNA (433 nucleotides) under uncultured bacterium. RNAcentral's name for it is "partial 16S ribosomal RNA". It matches the Rfam family "Bacterial small subunit ribosomal RNA", at positions 29 to 507 of the family's 1533-position model. The record is from RNAcentral.